Molecule: ribosomal RNA, 372 nt
Filed under: uncultured organism
Description: bacterial SSU rRNA
Rfam family: Bacterial small subunit ribosomal RNA
Source: RNAcentral
CAGAGGUGCCGAGCGUUAGGCGGAAUCACUGGGCUUAAAGCGUGUGUAGGCGGAGUUCUAAGUACCUUGUGAAAUCCCACGGCUUAACCGUGGAACUGCUUGGUAUACUGGUUCUCUUGGGCCACUUAGGGGCUACCGGAACAAACGGUGGAGCGGUGAAAUGCGUAGAUAUCGUUUGGAACGCCAAUGGUGAAAACAGGUAGCUGGGAGUGUGCCGACGCUGAGACACGAAAGCCAGGGGAGCGAACGGGAUUAGAUACCCCGGUAGUCCUGGCUGUAAACGAUGUCAACUAGAUCGUGGCGGCUCUGACGCUGCCACGGUCGAAGCAAAAGUGCUAAGUCGACCGCCUGGGAAGUACGGUCGCAAGGCUA